This is a long non-coding RNA of Diprion similis, 1738 nucleotides long. RefSeq lists it as uncharacterized. NCBI's taxonomy places the organism in Eukaryota, Metazoa, Arthropoda, Insecta, Hymenoptera, Diprionidae. The transcript has 4 exons. The record is from RefSeq and is a predicted model, not a curated record.
CUGGCUCGUGUCCGUAUCUUAGGUAUCUGCUCAAACAUCAAACAAAAACAAGUCACAACCCGUGUAGAUGAGCAGUGAACUGGCAAGUUUGGGUUUGACAACACGGGUGAUAGAAUUUUGAUUGUGUGUUUUUUUUUUCUUUUGAACAAGUUUGUCCUUUAUUAUUCUUUUGCUACAGCGUUGAUAAAUAUUGCUACCCGAACCCAGACACACACAAGGUAAUAAUUUCACUACCAGUCAUGACUGCCGUCUGUGAUUGCCAACCGUGCUGAUUUUAUAGUCAUAGUUACUGUUCCGCAUGUUUGUAUUUAGUUCUGACUUCUUACUGCAACCGCACUUGGAUUGGAAUUUAUAAUUUCCUGCAUCAUUUUUACGCUCUUAGCUAUGGGUAGUAAAACAUCAGAAUCGGAUGUAUCCAGUAACGAGGAUGGCAAAAAGUCCUGGAGCCGGAAGACUUUAACCAAAACAAAGCAAUCUAUGCAGAAGUAUCGGCAUCAGUGGGAAAGAUAACCGAUUGUGGCUUUACCCAGCUAUUUCAAGUCACUUUAAGUCAUGGACCAUUUGAGUGAUAUCUUGAAGAUAUGUUUUACGGAUUCAAAAAUAGCACAGUUACUAAAACUCGAGAGGGUCAAAGCUGCAGUCACUGAAAAUGUGAUCGGCAAAACACAAAAGGAAGAACUAAUUGAAAAACUCAAGCAUACUUUUCUUCAAUUACGAGUACCUCAAUGAAAGAUUCAGAUGCAUAAUCUGUUCAUGAAAUUACAUUGUCUGUUUCUUCAGUGGGCAUUGCCGCUAUUCGCAAAUCUGAAUAAAUAUUUUCAAUCGGAAUGAGUUGUUACGAAAAUGCAUGUGAGCAUGGUAUUGGCAUAAAAAGAUUUGCUAGGCUGUUACAUGAAGAGAAGUUAUCUAGCCAAAAUGCCAUUGCAGGAUGUUAACCCAGCUGCCACCGAAGAAUCCAUCCCGAUCGCAAGUCUCUACAUGGAUGUCGGCGUAAUGAAACAAAUGGGAGUCGAAGAAAUUCGAUGUUAUCCUGAUCUCAUCAACAACAAUCGAAACGAGAUGCAUAAAUUUUCUUAGCACCAGAUGCAUCCAAAUAAAAAAAACAUAUGACUUUAAUGAUCCCGUAUUUACUUCAAUUACUGUUCUCACUCCUGAAACAGCUUUGUCGUUGACAGAAAGGCAUGUAAUUCCUUUAACGACGAAGAUGUCGAGAGUCUGCCCUGUCGGAGAUGCACAGCUCCAGAGGCUGGAUGACGAGUGGUGACAGAUGCCUCUCAUAAAAUUUCGAGACAACAUAGCGGUAAAGACCGAAGCUGAUAUCUUUUGGGACAAAGUUAGCAAGUACAAAGAUUAAAUGGGCGAGCCAUAUCUCAAGGGUCUUCCAUCACUUUUGCUUGAGGCGGUAUCCAUCUCGUAUUCAAAUGCUCAAUGCAAACGAAUCUUUAGCAAGGUCAAUCUGAUCAAAACAAAGACAUGUAAUCGUUUGGUUACGACAACGACAACUGGGAUUUUGUUAAGUAGCGAGUACGUGAGGGUUCGGCUGCAGGAGCACUGCCGUAAGAAUUUCAUACCAACAAAAGCAACGGAGAGUCGAAUGACAGCAAAUCUAUACUUACACAACUCUCGCAAAACUAGAACAACUAGUGUAACCACUAAAGAUGAUAAUUAUUCUUUCAUUAUUAGCGGUGUUAAUGAACCUAGUUUUUAAACCAAAUAUUAAGAAAAAACUGGAUAUAAA